This 73-nucleotide ribosomal RNA is filed under the name uncultured fungus. Its description in RNAcentral is "partial 5.8S ribosomal RNA". It matches the Rfam family "5.8S ribosomal RNA", at positions 84 to 154 of the family's 154-position model. Rfam says of the family: 5.8S ribosomal RNA (5.8S rRNA) is a component of the large subunit of the eukaryotic ribosome. It is transcribed by RNA polymerase I as part of the 45S precursor that also contains 18S and 28S rRNA. Lineage: Eukaryota; Fungi. The record is from RNAcentral.
GUGAAUCAUCGAAUCUUUGAACGCACCUUGCGCCCCUUGGCAUUCCGAGGGGCACACCCGUUUGAGUGUCGUG